UAUUCUCAACUCUGACUUGUUUCAGACAAGUCGGUGUUGGAUGUGGAGGUCUGCCGGUGCCCGUCAUCGGCUCCUCUGAAAUGCAUUAGUAUGGACGUUUAUCUGGCGUUCCUUCAGUGUGAUAAUUGUCUACGCUGUGGGCGCCGGGUUUUGCAAAGUCUAUGCUUCGAACUGUCCCUUGGGACAACUUUUGAC
This 195-nucleotide unclassified non-coding RNA is filed under the name uncultured Polyporales. RNAcentral's name for it is "sequence contains ITS2". The record is from RNAcentral. Lineage: Eukaryota; Fungi; Basidiomycota; Agaricomycetes; Polyporales.